Molecule: ribosomal RNA, 950 nt
Filed under: uncultured Bacteroidota bacterium
Lineage: Bacteria; Pseudomonadati; Bacteroidota
Description: bacterial SSU rRNA
Rfam family: Bacterial small subunit ribosomal RNA
Source: RNAcentral
GCCAGCAGCCGCGGUAAUACGGAGGGUCCAAGCGUUAUCAAGAUUCAGUGGGUUUAAUGGGUGCGCAGGCGGACCUGUAAGUCAGUGGUGAAAUCUAGCCGCUUAACGGUAAAAUUGCCAUUGGUACUGAAGGUCUUGAAUAUGGUUGAGGUAGGCGGAAUGUGUUGUGUAGCAGUGAAAUGCAUAGAUAUGACACAGAACGCCGAUUGCGAAGGCAGCUUACUAAGCCAUUAUUGACGCUGAGGCACGAAAGCGUGGGGAGCGAACAGGAUUAGAUACCCUGGUAGUCCACGCCGUAAACGAUGUUCACUCGCUGUCUGCGAUACACAGUAGGCGGCUAAGCGAAAGCAUUAAGUGAACCACCUGGGGAGUACGAUCGCAAGGUUGAAACUCAAAGGAAUCGCCGGGGGCCCGCACAAGCGGAGGAACAUGUGGUUUAAUUCGAUGAUACGCGAGGAACCUUACCUGGGCUUAAAUGUAGAUCGCAUAUCUUAGAGAUAGGAUUUUCCUUCGGGACUAUCUACAAGGUGCUGCAUGGUUGUCGUCAGCUCGUGCCGUGAGGUGUCGGGUUAAGUCCCAUAACGAGCGCAACCCCUAUCGUUAGUUGCUAGCAGGUAAUGCUGAGGACUCUAGCGAGACUGCCACCGUAAGGUGAGAGGAAGGUGGGGAUGCCGUCAAAUCAGCACGGCCCUUAUGUCCAGGGCUACACACGUGUUACAAUGGCAGGUACAAAGGGCAGCUACACACGCGAUGUGAUGAUCAUCUCUAAAGCCUGUCCCAGUUCGGAUUGUGAGUCUGCAACCCGACUCCACGAAGUUGGAUUCGCUAGUAAUCGGAUAUCAGCCAUGAUCCGGCGAAUACGUUCCCGGGCCUCGUACACACCGCCCGUCAAACCAUGGAAGCAGGGGGUGCGUGAAGUCCGUGUCCGUAAGGAGCGGCCCUAGGGAAAA